RNAcentral lists this ribosomal RNA (465 nucleotides) under uncultured bacterium. RNAcentral's name for it is "partial 16S ribosomal RNA". It matches the Rfam family "Bacterial small subunit ribosomal RNA", at positions 28 to 507 of the family's 1533-position model. The record is from RNAcentral.
GACGAACGCUGGCGGCGUGCUUAACACAUGCAAGUCGAACGGAAAGGCCCCUUUGGGGGUACUCGAGUGGCGAACGGGUGAGUAACACGUGAGUAACCUGCCCUUGACUUCGGGAUAACUUCAGGAAACUGGGGCUAAUACCGGAUAGGAAUCCUUGCUGCAUGGUGGGGGUUGGAAAGCUUCGGCGGUUUUGGAUGGACUCGCGGCUUAUCAGCUUGUUGGUGGGGUAGUGGCUUACCAAGGCUUUGACGGGUAGCCGGCCUGAGAGGGCGACCGGCCACCUUGGGACUGGGAUACGGCCCAGGCUCCUACGGGAGGCAGCAGUGGGGAAUAUUGCACAAUGGGCGGAAGCCUGAUGCAGCAACGCCGCGUGCGGGAUGACGGCCUUCGGGUUGUAAACCGCUUUCAGCAGGGGCGAAGCUUGUGGUGACGGUACCUGCAGAAGAAGCACCGGCUAACUACGUG